UACGUAGGUCCCGAGCGUUGUCCGGAUUUAUUGGGCGUAAAGCGAGCGCAGGUGGUUUAUUAAGUCUGGUGUGAAAGGCAGUGGCUCAACCAUUGUAUGCAUUGGAAACUGGUAGACUUGAGUGCAGGAGAGGAGAGUGGAAUUCCAUGUGUAGCGGUGAAAUGCGUAGAUAUAUGGAGGAACACCGGUAGCGAAAGCGGCUCUCUGGCCUGUAACUGACACUGAGGCUCGAAAGCGUGGGGAGCAAACAGG
This 252-nucleotide ribosomal RNA is filed under the name uncultured bacterium. RNAcentral's name for it is "partial 16S ribosomal RNA". It matches the Rfam family "Bacterial small subunit ribosomal RNA", at positions 524 to 776 of the family's 1533-position model. The record is from RNAcentral.